GUGUCAGUAGCCGCGGUAAAACCAGCACNUCAAGUGGUCAGGAUGAUUAUNGGGCCUAAAGCAUCCGUAGCCGGCUCAGUAAGUUUNCGGUUAAAUCUGUACGCUCAACGUACAGGCUGCCGGGAAUACUGCAGAGCUAGGGAGUGGGAGAGGUAGACGGUACUCGGGAGGAAGUGGUAAAAUGCUUUGAUCUUUCGAUGACCACCUGUGGCGAAGGCGGUCUACCAGAACACGUCCGACGGUGAGGGAUGAAAGCUGGGGGAGCAAACCGGAUUAGAUACCCGGGUAGUCCCAGCUGUAAACUAUGCAAACUCAGUGAUGCAUUGACUUAUGGUCAAUGCAGUGUUGCAGGGAAGCCGUUAAGUUUGCCGCCUGGGAAGUACGUACGCAAGUAUGAAACUUAAAGGAAUUGGCGGGGGAGCACCACAAGGGGUGAAGCCUGCGGUUCAAUUGGAGUCAACGCCAGAAAUCUUACCCGGAGAGACAGCAGAAUGAAGGUCAAGCUGAAGACUUUACCAGACAAGCUGAGAGGUGGUGCAUGGCCGUCGCCAGCUCGUGCCGUGAGAUGUCCUGUUAAGUCAGGUAACGAGCGAGAUCCCUGCCUCUAGUUGCCACCAUUACUCUCAGGAGUAGUGGGGCGAAUUAGCGGGACCGCCGCAGUUAAUGCGGAGGAAGGAAGGGGCCACGGCAGGUCAGUAUGCCCCGAAACUCUGGGGCCACACGCGGGCUGCAAUGGUAACGACAAUGGGUUCCAAACCCGAAAGGAAGAGGUAAUCCUCAAACGUUACCACAGUUAUGACUGAGGGCUGCAACUCGCCCUCACGAAUAUGGAAUCCCUAGUAACUGCGUGUCAUUAUCGCGCGGUGAAUACGUCCCUGCUCCUUGCACACACCGCCCGUC
This 900-nucleotide ribosomal RNA is filed under the name uncultured archaeon. Its description in RNAcentral is "bacterial SSU rRNA". It matches the Rfam family "Archaeal small subunit ribosomal RNA", at positions 455 to 1354 of the family's 1478-position model. The record is from RNAcentral.